RNAcentral lists this ribosomal RNA (3543 nucleotides) under Triticum aestivum (bread wheat). Its description in RNAcentral is "partial small subunit ribosomal RNA". Lineage: Eukaryota; Viridiplantae; Streptophyta; Magnoliopsida; Poales; Poaceae. The record is from RNAcentral.
AUGAUGGACAUCCAAGAAAUUCGUGAUGGUGUGUCAUCCCUCUUCGUCAUGCUGAAUAAGGAGACAUUCGUCCUGUUUCGGAUUGAGUUUCUUGUGGUCCUGCUCACACUCUUGUUCCUUGCAAUGUUCAUCAUGGACGUCUUUCGUCGCCACAUCCGCAACAGAGUCAUGAAAACCAUCUUUAGCAUCUUGGAUGGCGUCUCUGACUCUAUUAUCUUAUACCUGCUGGGGGCCAUGCAAACGGCCAAGUUCAAGAAUCAGCUGUUCCCGGUUUGGGCCCUCGUGCUUGUUAGUUUCCGGUACAACGUCGACUUCAUCUCUGGCUAUGGUGUUGAUGACCGCCAUGGGCGACGGUUCAUGGAGUGGAGGAAUGUGGUGAAACUUCUGGGAUCGGCGUUCUUGAACUGGUCACGUGGCUCAAGGUUCACACUUCCACUCUGGUCACUUUGGGCUCUGCAGAUACUAAGGAGCUGGUACAGAUACCAUUCCUAUCUUCUCGCACUCAAUUCUGUCUGGCAUGGUAAGAGUUCAGAGGUCGUUGCUGGCCCUCACACUAGCAACUGGAAACCGGAGGACUGCAACCCAGAGAAUAAUAUGGAAGGAUACAAAUACUUGAUCCAUGGAGAAACCUAUCAGAGAAUCAAACUCAAGAAGCCUCAGUAUGUCUUGUUUAUCGAUACUCAGAAUUACCACCAAGCUGAGCGCGGUUUUUCAUCGCUGGUUACCCUAGACAAUAUCUGGGGAUGUCGCAGGCACCUGUUAAACCCAAACAACAAUAAGGGGAAUGACCAAAAGGACCUAUGUCUGGCCUUCGCCUUGUCCAGGCUGCUCCGGUGCGGGCUCGAGGAUGUGACACUUCAACAAGAUAUCUUCCGCAUCAACCGAAAGCUAGUUAAGACUAAGAUCCUUGAGGAGGAGAACACUGACCGUGCCUUUAGGGUCAUGGAGCUGCAACUCUCCUUCGUAAAUGACUACUUCAAUACCCGCUACCCUAUGGUCUUCUGGAAUGGGUUCCCUUCUCUCUUCUUAAAUUUGCUUCUCUCCAUGGUGACCUUCUUUGUUGUAUGCUGGCUUGCUGUGGACAUCCGUAAGGUCUAUAUGCCCCCGAAAAACGAUCGAGCUCGUGUGGUGCAUGGGUUCAAUGUUGACAUGAUCAUCACCUGGGUAUUCAUGUUUUUUAUGCUAUUUAAAGAGAUCUGGGAGAUGGUCAGCUACUUAGUCUCAGACUGGACAAGAUUACUCCUAGUGUGCAGCUAUGCACGGUGGAAGGAAGAGCGCACUAGAAACAGAUGCAUGGAGGGCACAAUAUCAUCCUUUUUCAGAUCUAGGAUAACUAGUAAGCAGUGGCAUGGACUUAUUGACCAGUACGUCUUCUUAGAGUCGUAUGAUGACAGGCCAAGAUUUUCGAAUCUGAUGCACAAGAUAACCACUGGAAUGGUUCCAAACAAGGAUGAUGGAGUAACACUCCGCAGUGCCAUCAAUGUGCCAGAAUGUGUCAAGCCAGCAAUACUGAAGAAGCUCUGUGCAAGCCUAGAGCAGCUCAGCUCUCCUAAUAUUGUACAUGAUCAGGAGCAAAGCCAUUUUCUGCCCAGGGUCAUCACGUCACUGUCCGGCAAUGACGGUGACCGAAGGAAGCGUUACAGUUGGGCCUGCUACGACCUGCCCACAUGCUCUCAUGUAAUUUUGGUGUGGCAUAUUGCAACCAGCCUCUGUGAAAUGAAGCUUGCUCAAGACCAUGACGUCGACUUAAGCAAACAUGGGUUCCUAAGCUCACUCUUGUCAUAUUUCACAAGUUGUUUCUCAUCGAAACCAUAUCUUGUGGAUGUGGACGAGAAGAGGAAAGAAAAUAAGAAAGUAAAUGAGAAGUUGACUGGUAAGCUACAGGAAAUGUAUAUCACUGCGAAUAGCUUGUCUCGGUACUGUGCAUAUCUGCUAGUUUCAAAGCCGGACCUGAUCCCUGACAGCUUUUAUGUACCCUACAUGGUCUUACAAGAAACCGUGACAUGUGCUCGUGAUGACAUUCUUAAAAAUUGUGACUCGCUACUGAGCAGGUAUGCCAAACUGAUGGAAGAAGCAGAGAAGGCCAUCCAAGAUGCCGACGACGUCAUGGAGAAGGAAGAUAUUGUGCGAUUAGGUGCAAAACUGGGCAAGGAACUGAUUGAUCAAGAGACUGAAGAAGAAUGCUGGGAGAUUCUUUCUGGGGUAUGGGCUGAUUUACUAGUGCAUAUUGCCCCCACUUGGAACGCAGAGGCACACAAGGAGUGCCUUGAGUCAGGAGGGGAAUUUGUAACCUAUAUCUGGGCAUUGUUGUGGCAUUGUGGAAUCGAGAAGAGCAAAUUAUGGCCAGUGGAAGAUCUGUAUGACAUUGUGGUGGUCAGAGGGAUGCAGAAUAACGGGAACACAUGUUACUUCAAUGCAGUGUUGCAGAGUCUCCUUGCACUUGAUAAGCUGCGUGCAAGGAUGUUAGGACCGGGUGCUCCGACAGGGAAACUUGGUCAAGAACUACAGAAGCUCUUCAAAAAGACAAGCAAUAUCAAUGGCACAGGAGGUGUGCUGAUGCCAGAGAAGCUCUUCUUAGAUAUUUGCUCAAGGAAUUCAGAUUUUAGACCCGGCGUGAUGGAAGACAGCAAUAACAUGCUUGGUUCCUUGAUAAAUGGUUUGAAGAAUGAGGAAGGUACAAUGGUUGAGUCACUAUUCCGCAGUGAGGUUGCUAAACAUGUCUCCGGCAAAGAGUGUGAGCACACAUCAAUUACAAUGGAGGACCUUGAUCUCAGUCUAGCAAUACCACCAAAGAAGCCUGCAUCAAUCGAGGACUGCUUGGAUUUGUAUGCCACUGGAUUGAUCGAGGAUUGGCAUUGCAUAGACUGUUCAGCUGCUUCUGCAGCUGGAAAUACCUCUUUGAACCAAGAUACAACAAUCGAUGGCCAACCCGAACAGUCAAACAAUAAAACAUACAAAAAUGAGGAAUCUGGCCAUCCAGCUGACAGGCAAACGAGAACAACAUAUGGGAACAAUGGAAAGCUACCGGUGAUUGAUGGCAAUGCAAAUCAAAUGGAACAGAGCCAUAAAAAACAGAAAGACGAAAAGAAGAUAUGCAGGGCUGCAAUAGUACAAUAUCGCAUUACCAAGUCGGCGCCUAUACUAACCAUUCAUCUGAAGAGAUUCAACUAUGUCCACUCUGAUAGGCCAUACGAGUUGCAAGAGCGUGUGAACUUUGAAGAUACACUUGAUAUAACAAAGUUCAUAGAUCCUGGGCAUCUCAAGGACGACGAGUACAAGUACCGUCUAGUUGCUGUCAUUGUACACAGUGGACCGACCCUGCGCGAAGGACACAAUUUUGCCUAUGUGAGAGCAAGCCAAAUUGGAUGCCAACAGCAGGCGAGCCAUGACGAUCCAACAUGGUUCUGUGCAAGCGACGAAAGCAUCACAGAAGUAUCACUAAAAGAGGUGAUCGAGUGUCAGGCCUACAUUCUUUUUUAUGAAAGGGUCGAACAGCCAAAGGCCAAGCCAGUUGUAGAAGAGCAUCCACCAACCGGUCACUGA